AUUAAUUCAAAUUAUUUAGUAGUUUUGUGCUACCUUAUUAUAUACAAUUUGAAAUUACCGUAAUUCGCCGAUGUGAGACGGAAUCCACAAGUUAGCAGCUAAUCGUCACACAUUCGGUCCCGCUAAAUUUGCGACCUCCUCAUCGCAACCGAAUCCAAUAUUGAUUAGCUAAUAUCUCAGUGAUAGGUCCCAGUCAAAACUUUAAAAGAAAAGACAAGGAAAUAUUGAGAAACAAUGAGUUGUAUAAUUUUUUUGAUUGAUAUCCCCGUAGCAGUACAGCAAGCUUCUUAUAAAAUAGAACUUAACAGCUAGUCCUAUUCCAACGCUACUAACAACCCAUAUUCCCAAAUAUCAGCAAAGAAUAUUUUAGCCAGAUAGUGUAGUUGACUUAUUCUAAGCACAAAAAGAAUAAUUCAAUAAUUAAUAAAUAAUUAGCAGCAGCAGCAAUCAGUUCAAUGAAGUCAACUCCGAUAUUUUCUAUUUGGCACAGGCAACCUCUUGGACCUUCUGGGUUUAUCAAUACUACCCCCAUUAGCUUGAACCUUGUCCUCAAGGUUUAUAGAAGAGAAACGCUCAAACAGAGCAGCAGUAUUCUCCCAAGUAGCGUCCUCUACUGGCAAAUCUUUCCACUGAACAAGACUUUCUUCCACAAAACGGGAACCUUGUUUAAUCCACUUGGUAUCAAGAAUCCCAUAUGGUUCCAAAAGAACAUCACCAUCAUCAUUGAAUGUAGGCAAAUUUGUUGAAAUGGGAACUUUCCCCUGCUUGCCAAUAUAUUUUUUAAGUAACGAAAUGUGAAAGACUGGAUGAAUUCUGGAACUCGCAGGAAGUUGUAAGCGAUAAGCGACUUUGCCAAGUUUAGCCAAUAUCAAAUAAGGCCCAUAGUAGCGACUGGCCAGCUUUUGAAAUGCCCUUCGAGCAACAGAAUGUUGUCGGUAUGGCUGUAAUUUCAAGUAAACCCAGUCGCCCACUUGAAAUUCAACUUCUUUCCGGUGUUUAUCAGCCCGUUGUUUCAUCUGGUUGACUGAACGGGACAAGUUAAGCUUGAGCUGUUCAAGGAUUUCAUCUCUUGUGGUUAACAUGUUAUCUGCUUCCUGAAUAGCAGUUGUGCCUGCUUCAUACCGUGGAAUGGUGGGUGGAGCCCUGCCAUAUAAAGCAACAAAUGGGGACAUUCCAAUAGAACUAUGGUAAGAAGUAUUAUACCAGAAUUUUGCCCAUGGAAGAAAAAGGCUCCAUCGUCGUGGUUGCUGGGAGGAAAAACAACGUAGAUACUGUUCAAGGCACCUGUUAACAACUUCGGAUUGGCCGUCUGUUUCAGGAUGGUAGGAGGAACUCAUGUGAAGCUUGGUCCCAGAAAGUUUGAAAAAUUCACGCCAAAAAUGGCUAAUGAAAACAGGAUCCCGAUCACUAAUAAUUGUCUUUGGCAUGCCAUGGAGUUUAACAACUCCAUCAACAAACUUCUCAGCCACAGUUUUAGCAGUAAAUGGGUGAGUUAAACUGAGAAAAUGAGCGUAUUUGCUCAAACGGUCUACCACCACCAGAACCACAUUUUUACCAUAGGAAGAGGGAAGCCCUUCGACGAAAUCCAUUAUUAUAUCAUCCCAAACUUGAUGAGGAAUCGACAAUGGCUGUAGCAGUCCAGCUGGAAAAGCGGUAGCAGUUUUAUUGGCUUGGCAAACUGAGCAGGAAGCUAUAUAAUCACGAACAGAUUUUGGCAAGGAAGGCCAAUAAAAUUGUGCAGCGAUCCUUUUGUAUGUCCGCAAAACACCAGAAUGACCACCACUGGGGGAAUCAUGAAAUUCCUGUAAGAGCUGAACAAUUAAAUCUGAGUCAGGAGGAAUUACAACACGAUUCUUAUAAAGAAUCAAACUCGCUCGCCAGAGAUAAGGUUUGCCUGGGUCAUCCGUAGCCAAUUUCCCAAUCCGAAUCAGGUAGGGAUGAGUGAUUGUUGCAAGCCGCAGUGAGUCCCACAGGGAAGUGUCCGAGCUAAAAAGUGCAUCAAGGCUAGGACUGCCUGCGAUUCUGGAUAAAGCAUCAGCGGCAUUAUUUUCCCGCCCUGGUUUGUACCGGAUUUCAUAGUCAUAUCCCAACAAUUUUGAAACCCACUUCUGCUGCUCAGGGGUAACAAUUUGUUGAUCCAACAAGUAUUUAAGGCUCCGCUGAUCUGUCUGAAUAAUAAAGCGACGGCCCAACAAGUACGGUCUCCAUGUGCGGAUUGCAUGAACAAUUGCGAACAUCUCCUUAGCAUAGGUGGACCAGGACCGCUUAGUAACUCCCAAAGUCUUGCUCAUAAAGGCUAUUGGCCGGCCUUGUUGAGAUAGAACUGCCCCAAUGCCUUUGUCUGAAGCAUCUGUGGAGAUAAUAAACUCAUCAUUGAAAUUUGGCAUAGCAAGAGUCGGGGUAGAGGACAUGGCUUUCUUCAAAUUUGAAAAAGCUUGUUCAGCAUCAUUAGACCAGGCAAAUCUUCCUUUCUUAAGUAAAUCUGUCAAAGGCCGAGCAAUCAAGCCGUAGUUUUGGACAAAUUUCCUGUAAUAGCCAGUAAGUCCUAAAAACCCACGUAAAUCAGAAACAUUAGUAGGUGUAGGCCAAUCAAGCAUGGCUUUUAUUUUCCCUUGAUCCACCAAUGCCCCUUCAGAAGAAACAAUAUGCCCCAAAUACUGAAUUUGUUGCUGCCCAAAUGCACAUUUACUGAUUUUGAUGAAAAAUUUAUGUUGCCGCAAUAUUUCAAAAGCUAAUUUAACAUGUUCAAGAUGCAUGGUCCAAUUGGGGCUAUAAAUUAAGAUGUCAUCAAAAAAUACUAGCACAAAUUUACGUAAAUAGGGUCGAAAAACAGAAUUCAUUAAAGCUUGAAAAGUGGAUGGAGCAUUACACAGUCCAAAGGGCAUAACCAGGUAUUCAUAGUGGCCGUUAUGGGUACGAAAUGCUGUUUUAUAUAUGUCAUCGGGAUGGAUCCGUACCUGAUAGAACCCUGCCCGAAGGUCUAUUUUGGUAAAGUAGACAGCCCCAUGAAGUUCAUCUAUCAUAUCAUCAAUUGUGGGUAUGGGAAAUCUAUCUUUUAUAGUUACAGUGUUUAGGGCUCUAUAAUCUGUACAGAAUCGCCAAGACCCGUCUUUUUUCUUUACUAGUAACAAAGGAGAAGAAAAAGGACUUGUGCUAGUCUGAAUUAGCCUCAAUUUAAGCAUGUCAUGAACUUGUUUCUCAAUUUCAGCUUUUUGAAAAUUUGCGUACCUGUAUGGCCGGACAUUAACAGGGUCUGUUCCCUCCUUCAAAAUAAUGCGAUGGUUGAUAUCUCUUUCAGGUGGCAGCUCAGUAGGGUGUUGAUAGAUAUCUGCAUAUUGAUUGAGCAACUGAAGCAUAUCCGGGUGAACCCCCGUUGGUGGAAGUUCUUGCUGUAACUGAAAACAAACUGCAAAUAUGGAGUAUCCCUGUCUUAAUUCCUUCGCCAUUUUUUUUUUGAGGAAUACUGUUGUAUAAGUGGACUGUUGAUUCCCUUGAGACAUUGAUACCUUCCACCCCAAUUGAAUUUCAUAGUAAGGUUUUUCCAGUUGCAGUUCACAUCUCCAAGUCGUUCGAGCCAUUGGAUGCCUAACACCAUAUCCAAUCCCAUCAGAGGUAAAGAAUACAAAGUAAUAUCAAAGGAAAUACCUUGAACAUCAAUAGUUGUUUGUUCAAAUUUCGUCGUGCACGGAAGGUGACCUCCAUUGGCGACUUUCACUCUACUGCAUUUAAUUUGAGUUGCUGGUAAUUUAAGGGAUUCUGCCAGUUUCUCAUUUAUGAAAUUAUGGGUAGAGCCAUUGUCAAUGAGAGCAAUCAUCACCGUUGAUCCCAUGGUUAUCCGUACUCGCAUAGUUUGAGCAGUCGACCAACCAUUGAGAGCAUGAAGGGAAAUUUCCAGUUCAUCCUCACCUUCGUCAUCGUCGUCCUCUGUACCACCAUCUAAUAGAAGUAGCUGAGGUUUUGCACACCUGUGCCUUGGAAUGAAUUUUGCGUCACAGUUAAAGAGAGUCCAGCAGAUCGUCGCUUUUGCAUCUCUUCCCAUGAGAGACGCUUGACUGGCGGCGUAGCCUUAUCUUUGGUCGGGGAAAGAGGAUUCGACGAACUAAAUGUUCGAAAAGGUUUUUUCUGCCGCUGUAAUUGUUCAUCACGCAUCCGGGCAUAAUUAAUUGCGUCUUUAAGCAUCUUGGGUUUAAACAUCCGAAUCCCGUCCGAAAUCUCUGUUUUGAGUCCGCCCAUGAAUGUUCCCACAAGGGCUUUCUGUGUCCACCCCUUCACUUUGUUACCCAACCGUUCAAAUUCGCGUUGGUAGUCUCUCAGUGAACCGACCUGUCGAAUCUUAGAUAAGGAUUCGUCAAAAUCGUCACAGUCAGUAGGUCCAAAACGGGACCAUAGUUCUUCAACAAAAACCUCCCAGGUGACCUCUUUAUCUUCCUCUCGAUACGUUCGUUUCAGCCACCUCCACCACUGAUUAGCUUCCCCUUGGAGAUGGUAAGAAGCUAAAUAUACCUUUUCUGAAGGAUCAGUUUUCUGGUAGUCGAAGAACUGAUCGACUUUGGUCAUCCAUUCUGUCGGGUCAUCGCCAGAAAAUUUGGGAAACUCGAUUUUUGCGAGUUUGGAAGCAAAAAUCGGCAUACCUCCUUCCCGUGACUCCUCAUUGUUAGAUCGAGUUUGGCUAUGAUCACCCACACUGCUAACUCCCUCUUUAUUAGAGACUGCUAUAUCAGAAAAUCUUGUGAUAGCCGCUUCAAUCUGCUGUAACUUCGAGGAAAGCCCCUUGUCUAAAUUGCUAAUAGUAGUUUGGAGCUUACCCAUGGUGUCAUUAAGUGUUUCCACAGCGGCCUCCAGAUUUUCAAUUCGUUCCUUGUUUGAUGCCAUGAGGCAAAGAAAGGGGAAAGAGGGAAAAGAAAAAAUAAAUAAAUAAAUAAUUUAGGAAGGGAAAAGGAAGCUCUGAUACCAAUUGAUAGGUCCCAGUCAAAGCUUUAAAAGAAAAGACAAGGAAAUAUUGAGAAACAAUUAGUUGUAUAAUUUUUUUGAUUGAUAUCCCCCGUAGCAGUACAG
Molecule: long non-coding RNA, 5055 nt
Filed under: Manihot esculenta (cassava)
Lineage: Eukaryota; Viridiplantae; Streptophyta; Magnoliopsida; Malpighiales; Euphorbiaceae
Description: long non-coding RNA (MESC_LNC006836)
Source: RNAcentral